This 392-nucleotide ribosomal RNA is filed under the name uncultured bacterium. RNAcentral's name for it is "partial 16S ribosomal RNA". It matches the Rfam family "Bacterial small subunit ribosomal RNA", at positions 523 to 917 of the family's 1533-position model. The record is from RNAcentral.
AUACGGAGGAUCCGAGCGUUAUCCGGAUUUAUUGGGUUUAAAGGGAGCGUAGGCGGACGCUUAAGUCAGUUGUGAAAGUUUGCGGCUCAACCGUAAAAUUGCAGUUGAUACUGGGUGUCUUGAGUACAGUAGAGGCAGGCGGAAUUCGUGGUGUAGCGGUGAAAUGCUUAGAUAUCACGAAGAACUCCGAUUGCGAAGGCAGCCUGCUGGACUGUAACUGACGCUGAUGCUCGAAAGUGUGGGUAUCAAACAGGAUUAGAUACCCUGGUAGUCCACACAGUAAACGAUGAAUACUCGCUGUUUGCGAUAUACAGUAAGCGGCCAAGCGAAAGCGUUAAGUAUUCCACCUGGGGAGUACGCCGGCAACGGUGAAACUCAAAGGAAUUGACGGG